This 2066-nucleotide ribosomal RNA is filed under the name Margattea spinosa. Its description in RNAcentral is "SSU rRNA". It matches the Rfam family "Eukaryotic small subunit ribosomal RNA". The record is from RNAcentral. Lineage: Eukaryota; Metazoa; Arthropoda; Insecta; Blattodea; Pseudophyllodromiidae.
GCUCCCUGGUUGAUCCUGCCAGUAGUCAUAUGCUUGUCUCAAAGAUUAAGCCAUGCACGUCUCAGUACGAGCUUGUAUAAAAAGUGAAACCGCGAAUGGCUCAUUAAAUCAGUUUUGGUUCAUUGGACGACAAACGGUUACUUGGAUAACUGUGGCAAUUCUAGAGCUAAUACAUGCAAUCAAGUCCCGACCGGAGACGGAAAGGACGCACUUAUUAGAUCAAAACCGACCGGGGUCGUCCGGGGGCCUCGGCCUCCGGCGCCUCGCUUGCGUUCUUGGUGACUCUGAAUAACUGUCGGAUCGCACGGCCUCUGCGCCGGCGACGCGUCCUUCAAAUGUCUGACUUAUCAACUGUCGAUGGUAGGUUCUGCGCCUACCAUGGUCGUAACGGGUGACGGGGAAUCAGGGUUCGAUUCCGGAGAGGGAGCCUGAGAAACGGCUACCACAUCCAAGGAAGGCAGCAGGCGCGCAAAUUACCCACUCCCGGCACGGGGAGGUAGUGACGAAAAAUAACGAUACGGGACUCAUCCGAGGCCCCGUAAUCGGAAUGAGGACACUUUAAAUCCUUUAUCGAGUAUCCAUUGGAGGGCAAGUCUGGUGCCAGCAGCUGCGGUAAUUCCAGCUCCAAUAGCGUAUAUUAAAGUUGUUGCGGUUAAAAAGCUCGUAGUCGGACUUGUGUCCCGCUGUGUCGGUACACCGCACGUCGGUGUCCAACUGGCAUGCAAGCGAGGACGUCCUGACGGUGGUCGCGAGGGCAUCCUCUCGCGUGGGUCGGUGUCGGGGUGCCGCGGGUGCCUCUCCUCUUCCCGUCCGCCCUUCGUCCGGGUCGCUGAGCUCGCGCUCGCCCCGCGCGCGUCGGGCGUUUCGGGUGACCGGGAGAGCCCCCCUCCCCGUUCCGGCCGCGCGACCGAGACGCUCCCGGCCUGGUCUCACAUCCUCUCGAGGUGCUCUUGACCGAGUGUCUAGAGGGGCCGUCACGUUUACUUUGAACAAAUUAGAGUGCUCAAAGCAGGCAGAGAACGCGCCUGGAUACCAGUGCAUGGAAUAAUGGAAUAGGACCUCGGUUCUAUUUUGUUGGUUUUCGGAAUCCCCGAGGUAAUGAUCAAUAGGGACAGACGGGGGCAUUCGUACUGCGACGUUAGAGGUGAAAUUCUUGGAUCGUCGCAAGACGCGCAGAAGCGAAAGCAUUUGCCAAGCAUGUUCUCUCUGAUCAAGAACGAAAGUCAGAGGUUCGAAGGCGAUCAGAUACCGCCCUAGUUCUGACCAUAAACGAUGCCAGCCAGCAAUCCGCCGAAGUUCCUCCGAUGACUCGGCGGGCGGCUUCCGGGAAACCAAAGCUUACGGGUUCCGGGGGAAGUAUGGUUGCAAAGCUGAAACUUAAAGGAAUUGACGGAAGGGCACCACCAGGAGUGGAGCCUGCGGCUUAAUUUGACUCAACACGGGAAAACUCACCAAGCCCUGACACCGGAAUGAUUGACAGAUUGAGAGCUCUUUCUUGAUUCGGUGGGUGGUGGUGCAUGGCCGUUCUUAGUUCGUGGGACGACUUGUCUGGUUAAUUCCGUUAACGAACGAGACUCCAACCUGCUAAAUAGUCGGGUGACCGGCAUCCUUCGCGCUGCCGGCGAUAAUGAAAUCUUCUUAGAGGGACAAGCGGCGUCUAGCCGCCCUACAAAGAGCAAUAACAGGUCUGUGAUGCCCUUAGAUGUCUUGGGCUGCACGCGCGCUACACUGAAGGAAUCAGCGUGUCUUCCCUGGCCGAAAGGUCCGGGCAACCCGCUGAACCUCCUUCGUGAUAGGGAUUGGGGCUUGCAACUGUUCCCCAUGAACGAGGAAUUCCUAGUAGGCGCGAGUCAUAAGCUCGCGUCGAUUAAGUCCCUGCCCUUUGUACACACCGCCCGUCGCUACUACCGAUUGAACGGUUUAGUGAGGCCUUCGGACCGGCGAACGCAGGCGCGGCCCUCCGCGGCCCGUCGCGACUCUGUCGGAAAGAUGGCCGAACUUGCCCGUUUAGAGGAAGUAAAAGUCGUAACAAGGUUGCCGUAGGUGAACCUGCGGCAGGACCAUUA